UUUCAAAAAUUCCAUUUAAUUGUUAAUGAAUUUUCUCCUCAAAUCUAACGCCUCUUACCCCACCCCUCUCUCUCUUCGUAUCUGUUACAGUUCACAUGGCUUCCCUGCCAUCUUUCCUCUUCCGAGCAUAAUGGCACAAUGACUCUCACAAAAUUAGGCAAAGAUCUCGCUGUUUUCGGGAAGAAUACAAGGCAAAUCUUUUUUGAAUCUUGCCUCUCUGAUUCUUCCUCUUUUCUUUUGCCUCUACCAACGUUCAAAUUUCAAAAGGGUUAGAGUUGAGUCUUCUUUUGUCCGAGAGGAAGGAGUAAGGUCGAGAUCGAAGUUCGAUAGCACAUCUAAGACCCGCCUCAGUUCGCUGCCCUGCAAAAGGUUUGUAUCUUCCCCUCUCGCUCUCAUUUUGAUUUUGAUUAGGGUACGUUUGAUGCCUGGUGUGUAUUUGCUGGAGGACUGUUAGUUUCUAUUAAGCUUUUAUAUUUGGUGCUAUAAAAAUAGCUCUAAUAAAUGUUUGUUUAAGGUAAUGAUCUAUGACUAAAGUUGUUAGCAAUAAUCCUUUAAGGAGAUCAUGUUCUGGUAUGUAGUGUUAGAAGUAUGCUUGACUGAUAUUUGAUGAAAUGCUCACAUGAAAAUACCUAUCUCCUUUUGAAUACUUUUCUAUUAGAUGCCAUGAUUUUAAGAAGGAUUUUUUCCAUGAGCUAGUCGCCUUGCAAAAGAUUAAUUUGCUAUUGUGAUUUAGCACCUUUGCGCCUAAACAUCAUGCUUAGGAUUCCGAACAACUUGUUUAAGAAUAGAUUUAUCUAAAUGCAUACUGUUAAGCUAGGACUUGAUAUGCUUUAGCCAAAGUUAUGAACUUAUUGCUAUUAGUUAUCCAAAAUUCUUUUCUUUAGGAAACAAAUAUGGCUGAAAUUUCAUAAAAUAAUAUGACACUAUGACCUCUUUUCAUAUCUUGAUCUUGAUACAUUGUUAAAAAUCAAGUUCCACUUAGUAAUCCUUCUUAUCCUUGCAUAUAUUAAUUAAACUCUUAAGUUAUUUUGCUAACGGUUUAUUUUUCUCUUUCUUUAUAUGUACACUUUGGAGCACAUGGAGUCUUAAUUCGAGACCCUUGCAAUGGAGUCUCAAAAUGAGACUUGACGCCACUAUCCGAGCACGGAGUCAUCACAUACCAUAUUCCUUAGAUGCACCAAAUAGCAAGAAAACAAGCGAAACGCUUGGGGGCGCCUAUGGCGUUCUUCUUCUUUUAAUUCUUUUCCCAUUCGUUUUAUCUAACUUUUGUGAUUGUUAAUUUGCCUGUGCAUUUGGGGUUUAUCUCAAGUUUAAAUUUAAUUAUUUAGGCUUUUUGCUAUAUCACAGAGGAUAUGGUAAUUAGAAUAAGGUCUAAAAUCGGUAAUCUAAUAACUUUUUUUAUUUGCCACUAGUGUAUUCAAUUUUUAGUAAGCUUAAUAUUAUACUUCA
This is a long non-coding RNA of Nicotiana tabacum (common tobacco), 1449 nucleotides long. RefSeq lists it as uncharacterized. Lineage: Eukaryota; Viridiplantae; Streptophyta; Magnoliopsida; Solanales; Solanaceae. The record is from RefSeq and is a predicted model, not a curated record.